This 1153-nucleotide long non-coding RNA is filed under the name Helianthus annuus (common sunflower). RNAcentral describes it as "hypothetical non coding rna". The record is from RNAcentral. Lineage: Eukaryota; Viridiplantae; Streptophyta; Magnoliopsida; Asterales; Asteraceae.
AAAAACGACAUUUAAUAAAGGUUUUAGAUAGCUGAGGGGUGUAAGUGAUAAUGCCUAAAGUUGAGGGGUUGAGUUACAUAAAAGACCAAAGAAAAACAAAUCACUGUAGCUGACUUGAUGAUCACUACAGUGAUAAACCAUUCCACAAAUGUUAUAUUAUAAAUUAUAAAUGAGUAUAAUCUCAUCAUAACUAAUUCAAAUAUAGAUGGAUGUAGUACCGGUUACACAUACGCAAUGUGCCCAGCCGGCUGCGGCUCUCACUAACGAAACUUCAUUCGGAAGAGGGAAAGGUUCUGGCGUUUCCUUAACAAAAGCAUGCAACGAAACUGCAAAUUAGCUUCUUUCAUAUGAAAUUUGACAAAUAGAGUAAAAGAUAUGAAGCUGUAUUUUUAUACCCCAUGUUUCCCGGAUGUCACGUAGCUUUGACCAAGAUCGUCAGUAGAGCCCCAUGUAAUCAGCUUCCCUGUAUCUGGGGAUAAAGAAAGACUGGUAAGGAAACAUGAUGGCUAAAAGUGUAUAUCAACUAUAAAACUUUAUCUACGUGCAACAUAUAGACAUUAAAACUCUUUUUGAAGCAUUAUCUCUCGUUCGAGAAACUGCUUCAUCUGUAAGUUCAGUGAAGCGUUAUAUCUGCUGCUGCUGAGCUGCGCAUUGAGCUGCUUCUACUCGACUUUAUCCGACAGGUGACAUCAGCUCGACAGUAAGUUUUUUUUUUCUUUUUUCUUUUUCUGGUGUUCUGUUUCACAAUUGACAACAUCAACUCUAGGCUAGUUGGCUCUUUUCUGAUUAUUUUUCUCUGUAUUGAUGUUUUGUGCUGCUGCCGCCUGCUACUCUCUUAUUUACAAUUAUAUCUUAUGCCCUAUGUUAAGCUGUCAACACUUUACUGUUUUUAGCCACUUAGCCAUAUAGUAAGUUAUUUUUGUGCUUAACUCCUAGUUGUUAAUGGCGAAUAGCGACAAGGUACCUAUAUGCUACAUAGCGAAUAGCGAUAAAGAGACGGGCUGGCUAUUUUAUAAAUAGCGAUACACUAGAAAAAAAAUUAUGUGUAUGUUAUAUCAAAAUACUCUGGUAUAUAUAUGCUAUUUUACAUGUAUCUUUAACAAAAACCAAAACUCCAGCUAUUUUAUAGCUAUAUUUAAUUGCUAUUUAUAUU